RNAcentral lists this transfer RNA (83 nucleotides) under Cubamyces sp. BRFM 1775. RNAcentral describes it as "Leiotrametes sp. BRFM 1775 tRNA-Asp". Lineage: Eukaryota; Fungi; Basidiomycota; Agaricomycetes; Polyporales; Polyporaceae. The record is from RNAcentral.
UCUCUGUUAGUAUAUCGGUUAGUACACGCGCCUGUCAUCAGUAAUGAUCGCGCGAAAGCGGGGUUCGACUCCCCGACAGAGAG